AACGCACAUUGCGCCCCUUGGUAUUCCAUGGGGCAUGCCUGUUCGAGCGUCAUUUGUACCCUCCAGCCCUGCUGGGUGUUGGGCGUUUUGUUCCGCUACACGCGUGAACUCGCCUCAAAUGCAUUGGCAGCCAGCCGUCCCGCGUGGGAGCGCAGCACAUUUUGCGCUCUCUGCUGGGUGCGGCGGCGUCCACAAGCCUAUACUUUUACGCUUGACCUCGGAUCAGGUAGGGAUACCCGCUGAACUUAA
Molecule: unclassified non-coding RNA, 249 nt
Filed under: uncultured fungus
Lineage: Eukaryota; Fungi
Also listed under: 1 other name
Description: partial contains 5.8S ribosomal RNA, internal transcribed spacer 2, and large subunit ribosomal RNA
Source: RNAcentral